GGUUGUAAAGCUCUUUCGCACGCGACGAUGAUGACGGUAGCGUGAGAAGAAGCCCCCGGCUAACUUCGUGCCAGCAGCCGCGGUAAUACGAAGGGGGCUAGCGUUGUUCGGAAUUACUGGGCGUAAAGGGCGCGUAGGCGGUACUUCAAGUCAGGCGUGAAAGCCCCGGGCUCAACCUGGGAACCGCGCUUGAGACUGGAGAACUAGAGUUCGGGAGAGGAUGGUGGAAUUCCCAGUGUAGAGGUGAAAUUCGUAGAUAUUGGGAAGAACACCGAUGGCGAAGGCAGCCAUCUGGACCGACACUGACGCUGAGGCGCGAAAGCGUGGGGAGCAAACAGGAUUAGAUACCCUGGUAGUCCACGCCGUAAACGAUGAGUGCUAGACGUUGGGGCCCUUGGGGCUUCGGUGUCGCAGCUAACGCAUUAAGCACUCCGCCUGGGGAGUACGGCCGCAGGUUAAACUCAAAGGAAUUGAC
RNAcentral lists this ribosomal RNA (475 nucleotides) under uncultured bacterium. Its description in RNAcentral is "bacterial SSU rRNA". It matches the Rfam family "Bacterial small subunit ribosomal RNA", at positions 421 to 914 of the family's 1533-position model. The record is from RNAcentral.